Molecule: long non-coding RNA, 300 nt
Filed under: Actinidia chinensis (golden kiwifruit)
Lineage: Eukaryota; Viridiplantae; Streptophyta; Magnoliopsida; Ericales; Actinidiaceae
Description: long non-coding RNA (ACHI_LNC007152)
Source: RNAcentral
ACAUAUCGAUCAAACAAGCCCAUUUCUUUCUUCACGCUCUGCCUCUCUUCACUAAGAACCUACCGAAUGUGAUUAUGAUGAUCACACCAACGGCACCGAAGAGAAGAGGUAGUAGGAUGUUGAUGGAAGAUUGAUGUGAACGAUGGAAAAAACAUAAUAAUAUGGCGUAAACGAUGCAAAUACCACCCAAAACAAACCCCAAUAUUAUAGGUAAUAUUGGGGCCUUCACUGACUCUCCACCACCACUUGCGUUCUCAAUUUCCAUCCUAUAUGUUGACAGUUUGUCUUUGUCUUUGGCUG